RNAcentral lists this ribosomal RNA (425 nucleotides) under uncultured Streptococcus sp. RNAcentral describes it as "bacterial SSU rRNA". It matches the Rfam family "Bacterial small subunit ribosomal RNA", at positions 956 to 1382 of the family's 1533-position model. The record is from RNAcentral. Lineage: Bacteria; Bacillati; Bacillota; Bacilli; Lactobacillales; Streptococcaceae.
GCAACGCGAAGAACCUUACCAGGUCUUGACAUCCCGAUGCUAUUUCUAGAGAUAGAAAGUUACUUCGGUACAUCGGUGACAGGUGGUGCAUGGUUGUCGUCAGCUCGUGUCGUGAGAUGUUGGGUUAAGUCCCGCAACGAGCGCAACCCCUAUUGUUAGUUGCCAUCAUUCAGUUGGGCACUCUAGCGAGACUGCCGGUAAUAAACCGGAGGAAGGUGGGGAUGACGUCAAAUCAUCAUGCCCCUUAUGACCUGGGCUACACACGUGCUACAAUGGUUGGUACAACGAGUUGCGAGUCGGUGACGGCGAGCUAAUCUCUUAAAGCCAAUCUCAGUUCGGAUUGUAGGCUGCAACUCGCCUACAUGAAGUCGGAAUCGCUAGUAAUCGCGGAUCAGCACGCCGCGGUGAAUACGUUCCCGGGCCUU